CCAAAGAAAUGUUCGCGGUCGACGAAGUAAUACCGGUAUCGGUGCUUUCGUCAACAAAGGGAUCGGAGUCCAAAGGAAAACAUGAAGCUAAAUAGCAACCACAACCACCAGCCUCGACUCAGUCGGAGAAGCAGGGAACAGACGAGGACGAUGACUACUGGACCCCUCGAUCCUUCAUAAUCCGUGAGGAUUCGGACGCCACCAAAUCGACAGUCGAAGAGCUGGAGCAAGUCAUACUGAUCGAGCAUCUAUCCGAUCGAAAGGUAUAUCUGGGUACGGGGUUAACCCACGAGCUUAGGGAAAAACUCAUUAAACUUCUUAUCAAUAAUAUGGAUUGUUUUGCUUGGUCCCACCUAGAUAUGACAGGGAUCCCGCCAGAGAUCAC
RNAcentral lists this long non-coding RNA (385 nucleotides) under Nicotiana tabacum (common tobacco). RNAcentral's name for it is "long non-coding RNA (NTAB_LNC009611)". Lineage: Eukaryota; Viridiplantae; Streptophyta; Magnoliopsida; Solanales; Solanaceae. The record is from RNAcentral.